UACGUAGGGUGCGAGCGUUAAUCGGAAUUACUGGGCGUAAAGCGUGCGCAGGCGGUUUUGCAAGCCGGAUGUGAAAUCCCCGGGCUCAACCUGGGAAUGGCAUUCGGGACUGCAAGGCUGGAGUGCGGCAGAGGAGACUGGAAUUCCUGGUGUAGCAGUGAAAUGCGUAGAUAUCUGGAGGAACACCGGUGGCGAAGGCGGCAUCCUGGACCAACACUGACGCUGAUGAGCGAAAGCCAGGGGAGCAAACGGG
RNAcentral lists this ribosomal RNA (253 nucleotides) under uncultured bacterium. Its description in RNAcentral is "partial 16S ribosomal RNA". It matches the Rfam family "Bacterial small subunit ribosomal RNA", at positions 524 to 776 of the family's 1533-position model. The record is from RNAcentral.